AGGCUUAACACAUGCAAGUCGAGCGCCCCGCAAGGGGAGCGGCAGACGGGUGAGUAACGCGUGGGAAUCUACCCAUCCCUACGGAACAACUCCGGGAAACUGGAGCUAAUACCGUAUACGCCCUUCGGGGGAAAGAUUUAUCGGGGAUGGAUGAGCCCGCGUUGGAUUAGCUAGUUGGUGGGGUAAAGGCCUACCAAGGCGACGAUCCAUAGCUGGUCUGAGAGGAUGAUCAGCCACAUUGGGACUGAGACACGGCCCAAACUCCUACGGGAGGCAGCAGUGGGGAAUAUUGGACAAUGGGCGCAAGCCUGAUCCAGCCAUGCCGCGUGAGUGAUGAAGGCCUUAGGGUUGUAAAGCUCUUUCACCGGAGAAGAUAAUGACGGUAUCCGGAGAAGAACCCCGG
RNAcentral lists this ribosomal RNA (403 nucleotides) under Rhizobium sp. ISP20. Its description in RNAcentral is "bacterial SSU rRNA". It matches the Rfam family "Bacterial small subunit ribosomal RNA", at positions 44 to 495 of the family's 1533-position model. The record is from RNAcentral. Lineage: Bacteria; Pseudomonadati; Pseudomonadota; Alphaproteobacteria; Hyphomicrobiales; Rhizobiaceae.